Molecule: ribosomal RNA, 301 nt
Filed under: uncultured bacterium
Lineage: Bacteria
Description: partial 16S ribosomal RNA
Rfam family: Bacterial small subunit ribosomal RNA
Source: RNAcentral
CAGCAGCCGCGGUAAUGCGUAGGUGGCAAGCGUUGUCCGGAAUUAUUGGGCGUAAAGGGCUCGCAGGCGGUUUCUUAAGUCUGAUGUGAAAGCCCCCGGCUCAACCGGGGAGGGUCAUUGGAAACUGGGAAACUUGAGUGCAGAAGAGGAGAGUGGAAUUCCACGCGUAGCGGUGAAAUGCGUAGAGAUGUGGAGGAACACCAGUGGCGAAGGCGACUCUCUGGUCUGUAACUGACGCUGAGGAGCGAAAGCGUGGGGAGCGAACAGGAUUAGAUACCCCCGUAGUCCCUGUCUCUUAUAC